Molecule: long non-coding RNA, 1567 nt
Filed under: Pocillopora damicornis (cauliflower coral)
Lineage: Eukaryota; Metazoa; Cnidaria; Anthozoa; Scleractinia; Pocilloporidae
Description: uncharacterized LOC113672955
Source: RNAcentral
UCUUUUAGCUCUGGAUGACUGAACUGAUAUGAUACAAUUAAAUUUUAUUUGCCAUUCAUCAAGAGAAAGGUGAUUCAUUGCAGUUUUCAUAAGUGUUUAAAACAUUACCCACAUACAACUGGAAAUUUUUUUUAACCAUCUCAAUAUCUCACUCAUUUGCCAUUCAUUGACUCUGAGUUAAAUGACUGCAUAUCUGUGGUAUGUCUGCUAGACUUUAAGCAUGCUCAGAGACUAGUAGACAGAUUUUAAUUGGCAUGUCAGUCAUUAGCUUAAUAUAAUUGUGAUAAUUGAAGUCAGCGCAGUUGAGUCGUCUGAAAUUAGUCUGUUAUUUGAAGAAAGUCAAGGCGAACGACAUUUUGGCACCGCGCGCGCGGUAUUUCCAAUUAGUACUCGUGUUACAUGAAAAAUGCACUCCUUUCCGGCCAAUCAGACACGCGCAAUUUAUUUAUGUAUCUUAUUAACGAUGUAAUCCCAUUAUUAAUGGUUUAGUAACGUAUGUAGAUACAUCAAAAGGGUUUUUCUAUCGAUUAGUACCUUCAGCGCUUUCUAAAACAAGUGCUAAGUUCGUAUAGUUUACGUUAAUAACCCAUUUCUAAUGGCAAAUUUAAAUUCAAAUCCCCGAGUUUUGUCAAAUUUUGUUUCGUAAUAAAUUAUCAUAAUUGUUUUUGGGAUCAUCUUACAGCACUUAUAAAUCAUCAAUCUGAAAUAUACGUGUCUUCAUCCGAUGCAAAAAAAAAGCUUAGUGUUCUGUUCUUCGACAUGGUUGCAGAUUAAAGCACUAUAUAAUACCCCUGAUUCGAAGUGCUAAGGGAAACGAAAAGGCAGAUGGACAUAACGGGAAAUUCAGGGGAGAAAGUUGUAAAUGAUUGAGUUUAAAAUCAGCCUACAGCUAGUCACCGUAUUGGAAUCUUUUUAAAAUUAAACGAAAGUUAACGAAGAACUCUCCGAUCAUUUGUGGUCGGAAAACUGAUUUGAAUUACAAAUAACUUUGAAACAUAAAUAUUCAUAUUUGAGAUCAGACUUGCACGUGGAAAGAAUCGACGAGAUCUAAGAAAUGUCAGCAUCUUUUCCAACUUCUCAGGGGCCGGGGAAUACUUAAUUUCAAUCCAAAUACCUUGGAUUUUGUCCGUUCUGUCAAGGUGGGAGAGUGUUUCUUCGAGGUUGCCGAAGUAAGUGGUUUGAAUUCGACGACGAAAAUGGGCGGAAUGGAUGGCUUUUUGUCACAACGUUUUCAAGGACAUCAGAUCAGUGUCAGGAAUAGGAUGAGGUUCCCACUAAAUCAAGGAAUUCAAGGAAAGAAAGGAAAACAAAACAAUUUUCAAAAACAUUGACUGAAACACGAACGUGAAGGCAAGUUUUAUUCAGAGGUAUAAAGCAUAUUUAGAGCAAUUCCAUCAAGAAUACGGCGAAUCAGAACAAAGAGACAUUCACUAAAAUCGACAACUUGAAGCCAGACGUAAGCAAAUGUUAUCACGCGAUUUUAUUGGACUUCGAAUUUUUUUUUGUCGGCUUAAUAUCCAUGGCAUGGGCUGUUUAAAAAAAUUUGACUUUCCCGCCAAAAAACUUA